UUAAAAAUAGUCAAAAUGCUAAAACAUUGAUUUUUCAACCUCAGGAACAAUAGGUAAUCCAAUAUUGAUUUAUUGAUGUUUUAUUAAGAAUUUAUAAUGCUGAACUUAAUAUUUAAACAAGUAAUAGAGAAGUUUGUACAUCAGUAAAAUCAAUUUGUUUAUGUUUAAUCGAAAACAGGCCAAAAUCGAGCAUUUUUAAGCAUCUUGGGAGCUGUUUUCACAGUGUUCUUGUUACCAUGGCAACUGUACCUCAAUUUCGAAUUUUGGUACCAAAUUCUAUGAGAGGGUAUCAAAUAAUCACUAUAUGCCAAAUUUCAGCAAAAUCGCAUACAUGCCAACUUUCCCGAUUUAGGCGGGAUCUUCCCGAUUUUACCCUCCGGUCCCGCUUUCCCCAUCGGGAAAGCAAAAUUACCCUAAAAUCCCGAUUUGAAAUUUUUUCCGACCAAAAUUUCCGAUUUCACGAUUGAAAACGAGUUUGAAAGCGGGAUAAUCGUGAAAUCUCGUGACCAGAAUUGGAAAUCCCGCGUCAUUCUGAACUGGCCAAUCAGAAAUCGGGACAAUAGUCAGCCAUUGCUGUUUACCUGUGUCGCAUGGUGUCGGGUUGGUCUGCCUGUGUCGGGGUGUUUAUUGGACAGUACGAAGCAUGUUUUCAUAGUAAUUAAUCGGGAAGACGGAUUUCAAAUUGACCUAUCCUUUACACAAACGUGAAUGACAACGAUGCUAGUGUCACCACCAAACAAUCGGACAUUCCGCCUCUCGCUGACAGCAUCCAAAAUUUGCAAUAAGAUGUCAUGGGUGCAAAGGUUUUGUUCGCAAACUUCAUAGCAGGACAGAUCACUACUUUUUUUGGUUGCAAUGCAGAUUAUUCCACCAGUCUCUGCAAGCCCAUGUUUACAGACAAGCAAGAUCGCCUUUGCAGUCGUACCUUAAUGCAUGUGCUUUAAUUUAAAUUUUGAUAUAUAGACCGGCCAAUGUUUAUUGUAUGGUGUAAAAGGAUGCAACCUUAAAUAUUAUUUGAUAUUAUGUAUGUGACUUGUUGGAGAAGAUUUUUUGCUGAAUAGAUGAUUUUAAUAAAAUAUUAAUGUAUA
This is a long non-coding RNA of Ostrea edulis (European flat oyster), 1088 nucleotides long. RefSeq lists it as uncharacterized. Lineage: Eukaryota; Metazoa; Mollusca; Bivalvia; Ostreida; Ostreidae. The transcript is spliced from 2 exons. The record is from RefSeq and is a predicted model, not a curated record.